This 1311-nucleotide ribosomal RNA is filed under the name uncultured bacterium. RNAcentral describes it as "partial 16S ribosomal RNA". It matches the Rfam family "Bacterial small subunit ribosomal RNA", at positions 45 to 1400 of the family's 1533-position model. The record is from RNAcentral.
UGCUUAAUACAUGCAAGUCGAACGCGUGUAGCAAUACACGAGUGGCGGACGGGUGAGUAACGCGUGGGAACCUGCCCAGUGGUAGGGAAUAACUGCGGGAAACUGCAGCUAAUACCCUAUGCACCCUACGGGGGAAAGAUUCAUCGCCAUUGGAGGGGCCCGCGUCGGAUUAGCUAGUUGGUGGGGUAAUGGCCUACCAAGGCAGCGAUCCGUAGCUGGUCUGAGAGGAUGAUCAGCCACACUGGGACUGAGAUACGGCCCAGACUCCUACGGGAGGCAGCAGUGGGGAAUAUUGGACAAUGGGGGAAACCCUGAUCCAGCAAUGCCGCGUGAGUGAAGAAGGCCUUAGGGUUGUAAAGCUCUUUCGGCGGGGACGAUGAUGACGGUACCCGCAGAAGAAGCCCCGGCUAACUUCGUGCCAGCAGCCGCGGUAAUACGAAGGGGGCUAGCGUUGUCCGGAAUUAUUGGGCGUAAAGAGCUCGUAGGCGGUCUGUCGCGUCGGCUGUGAAAACUCGGGGCUCAACUCCGAGCUUGCAGUCGAUACGGGCAGGCUAGAGUUCGGCAGGGGAGACUGGAAUUCCUGGUGUAGCGGUGAAAUGCGCAGAUAUCAGGAGGAACACCGGUGGCGAAGGCGGGUCUCUGGGCCGAUACUGACGCUGAGGAGCGAAAGCGUGGGGAGCGAACAGGAUUAGAUACCCUGGUAGUCCACGCCGUAAACGUUGGGCGCUAGGUGUGGGAUCCCUUCCACGGGUUCCGUGCCGCAGCUAACGCAUUAAGCGCCCCGCCUGGGGAGUACGGCCGCAAGGCUAAAACUCAAAGGAAUUGACGGGGGCCCGCACAAGCGGCGGAGCAUGUGGAUUAAUUCGAUGCAACGCGAAGAACCUUACCUGGGUUUGACAUACACCGGAAAGCCGUGGAGACAUGGCCUCCGCAAGGCCGGUGUACAGGUGGUGCAUGGCUGUCGUCAGCUCGUGUCGUGAGAUGUUGGGUUAAGUCCCGCAACGAGCGCAACCCUCGUCCCAUGUUGCCAGCGGGUUAUGCCGGGGACUCAUGGGAGACUGCCGGGGUCAACUCGGAGGAAGGUGGGGACGACGUCAAGUCAUCAUGCCCCUUAUGUCCAGGGCUUCACACAUGCUACAAUGGCCGGUACAAAGGGCUGCUAAGCCGUAAGGUGGAGCGAAUCCCACAAAGCCGGUCUCAGUUCGGAUCGGGGUCUGCAACUCGACCCCGUGAAGUCGGAGUCGCUAGUAAUCGCAGAUCAGCAACGCUGCGGUGAAUACGUUCCCGGGCCUUGCACACACCGCCCGUCAC